This 253-nucleotide ribosomal RNA is filed under the name uncultured bacterium. RNAcentral's name for it is "partial 16S ribosomal RNA". It matches the Rfam family "Bacterial small subunit ribosomal RNA", at positions 524 to 776 of the family's 1533-position model. The record is from RNAcentral.
UACGAAGGACCCAAGCGUUAUCCGGAUUUAUUGGGUUUAAAGGGUGCGUAGGCGGGUUAUUAAGUCAGUGGUGAAAGCCUGCAGCUUAACUGCAGAACUGCCAUUGAUACUGAUGAUCUUGAGUAUGAUUGAGGUGGGCGGAAUGUGUCAUGUAGCGGUGAAAUGCUUAGAUAUGACACAGAACACCGAUUGCGAAGGCAGCUCACUAAGCCAUAACUGACGCUCAGGCACGAAAGCGUGGGGAGCAAACAGG